AUUAAAAAGAAAAUUGUUAAAUCAAUUUAAUUUGAAUAUAUUAAAUUAUUUGAUUUUAAUAUAAAAAAUAUAUUUUAUAUUAUUAUAUAAAUAGAAAAUUUUUGAGAAGUGAUAGUUAAUUAGUAUAGUAAUAGAAAUUUUAUUUAUAUUAUAAAGAAUAAUAUUUUUAGUACCUUGUGUAUCAGGGUUUAUUUAAUAAGUUUAAUUUAUUUUAUAUUCUCGAAUUGAGAAGAGAUAUUAAUUUAUAUUUUUUAUUGUAAAAUAAAUAUUAUGAAUAUUUUAAUUGAAAUGAAAUGUUAUUCGAGUCUUAAUUUAUCUAGUUUUUAAAGAAAAAAGUUUAAUUUUAUUAGUUAUUUUUAAUAAUAAUAGUUUUAUUGUUAUUUAUAAUAAUUGAUUAUUUAUUUGAGGAUAAGCUGAAAUAAGGAUUGUUAUAAAAUAUAUUAUGAUUUUAAUAAAGUAGUAAUAGAAAUUUUUAUCUUUUAUAGUAUGUUAUAAUUAAAUUUAUAAUUUAUAUAAUUUAUAUGUUUUUUAAUUUUUUUAUUUAAAAAUUUUAUAUAAUAAAAGUAUAAUAGUUAUAAUGAUAAAAUUAGUAUAAUUUAUUGUUAAUUAUAUUAAAAUAUAAAUGUAAUAUAAAGGAAUUCGGCAAAUAAUUUUUCGCCUGUUUAAUAAAAACAUGUCUUUUUGAUUAUAAUUUAAAGUCUGAUCUGCCCACUGAAAUUUUAAAUGGCUGCAGUAUUUUGACUGUACAAAGGUAGCAUAAUAAUUAGUUUUUUAAUUGAAAGCUUGUAUGAAUGAUUUGACGAGAAAAUUACUGUCUCUAUAUUAUUUUAAUAGAAUUUUAUUUUUAAGUUAAAAAGCUUAAAUGAUAUUAAAAGACGAGAAGACCCUUUAGAGUUUUAUAUGUAUUUAUAAUAAAGAUUAUUAUUUAAUAUUUUUUAUUUGUAUGUAUUUUAUUGGGGUGAUAGAAAAAUUUAAUUAACUUUUUUUAUAUUUAAACAAUUAUACUUGAUUUAUUGAUCCAUUUUUAUGAUUAAAAGAUUAAAUUACCUAAGGGAUAACAGCGUAAUUUUUUUAGAGAGUUCAAAUCGAAAAAAUAGAUUGCGACCUCGAUGUUGGAUUAAAAUUAAAAUUUGGUGUAGAAGCUAAAUGAUUAGGUCUGUUCGACCUUUAUAAUUUUACAUGAUCUGAGUUUAGACCGGCGUGAGCCAGGUUGGUUUCUAUCUUUAAUAAAUUUUAAUGUUUUAGUACGAAAGGACCAAAUAUUAAUAACAUUUAUUUUUAUGGGAAUGUUAUUUUGGC
RNAcentral lists this ribosomal RNA (1299 nucleotides) under Staphylinidae sp. BMNH 1274656. Its description in RNAcentral is "16S ribosomal RNA". The stretch from base 1054 to 1212 matches the Rfam family "Archaeal large subunit ribosomal RNA", at positions 2542 to 2701 of the family's 2987-position model. The record is from RNAcentral. Lineage: Eukaryota; Metazoa; Arthropoda; Insecta; Coleoptera; Staphylinidae.